GUCAUUUGCAGCAACAUGGAUGGAACUGAAGGUCAAUAUGGAGUGAUCUAUGCAGGAGAAACAGCUUGGGAAAUGCUGAAAUUUCUGACUGUAAGAAAUGCUUGGAUAUAUGUAUCUGUUUGUUUGGAUAAUUUACUCAUGUGAUCUCUUGGAACCAAGGAUCCUUGGAUCCAAGGAACUCUGAUUUCUAGGAAUACUUUGUAAACAAAUCAAUAUACAAAUAGGUGAAUAAUCUGAAUUUUCCAGCCCAGUGAUUUUUGAAAGGAGGCAUCCAAACCAAAAGAGCCCCAGAUCAGAUUUUUACCCAACUAAGUGGUCAGUGUUUGUUUAUGACAGUGAACCCCCUCUGACAGCUUCAUCACCUCUAACAAACAAACAAACAAGGGAGACAGAGUGGAUGAACAACUUAUUUUCAAAGCUAACAAACAUUCUAUGACUUAACUGCUUGAAAACUAACUUGUUGCAGAAAGGUGAAAUGCUUUAUUCUCACAGAAAACUCCACUUCUGGAGUUGCCCCUCAAUAUGAAGAAACCGGAAGUAAAAGCCUGUCAUUCUUAAAUAACAUUUAUUAUUGUUGCAAAGAAGUCUUCUCCAUGAGAACAGUUCUCACAUUUAUUUAAAGAUAUAGAGGUUAUGGAUAUAGAUAAGUAUGCCCGACUAUGAUCCUUAAUUCAGCAAUCUAAUAUUCACAAUGUGUUUGUUGCCAUUUAGCUAUUUAUCCCAACAUGCCCUUAAAAAAAACACCAAAAAACCACAUGUGCCUAGACAGGGUGGAAAAAGAAACACCAAGGCCUUGCUAAAAAGGAGAAGC
Molecule: long non-coding RNA, 811 nt
Filed under: Homo sapiens (human)
Lineage: Eukaryota; Metazoa; Chordata; Mammalia; Primates; Hominidae
Description: HSALNT0335961
Source: RNAcentral